Long non-coding RNA from Bufo bufo (common toad), 251 nucleotides. RefSeq lists it as uncharacterized. The record is from RefSeq and is a predicted model, not a curated record. The transcript is spliced from 3 exons. NCBI's taxonomy places the organism in Eukaryota, Metazoa, Chordata, Amphibia, Anura, Bufonidae.
AAAAAUUUCCCACCUGCCUGAGAAACCUGGAAGCAAAGCCAUUGGGGCAAUGAUAAUAAGACCUCGUGCAGGUGUAUGGUAGGGCGGGCAACCAAAGAGAGAUAGAUAUACAGGAGAGCAAUAGGAAGAAGGUGACACUGCACCCACAGUCCUGACAAGAUUUGUCAUGGACAGGUUGUGGAUCUUAUUAUUUACCUCCACUCUGGUAGCCUAUGGUAUAAAUGGAGGAAUUCCAGGUUCAACAGGUAAAG